GGGUUGUGAGGUUAAGCGACUAAGCGUACACGGUGGAUGCCCUGGCAGUCAGAGGCGAUGAAGGACGUGCUAAUCUGCGAUAAGCGUCGGUAAGGUGAUAUGAACCGUUAUAACCGGCGAUUUCCGAAUGGGGAAACCCAGUGUGUUUCGACACACUAUCAUUAACUGAAUCCAUAGGUUAAUGAGGCGAACCGGGGGAACUGAAACAUCUAAGUACCCCGAGGAAAAGAAAUCAACCGAGAUUCCCCCAGUAGCGGCGAGCGAACGGGGAGCAGCCCAGAGCCUGAAUCAGUGUGUGUGUUAGUGGAAGCGUCUGGAAAGGCGCGCGAUACAGGGUGACAGCCCCGUACACAAAAAUGCACAUGCUGUGAGCUCGAUGAGUAGGGCGGGACACGUGGUAUCCUGUCUGAAUAUGGGGGGACCAUCCUCCAAGGCUAAAUACUCCUGACUGACCGAUAGUGAACCAGUACCGUGAGGGAAAGGCGAAAAGAACCCCGGCGAGGGGAGUGAAAAAGAACCUGAAACCGUGUACGUACAAGCAGUGGGAGCACGCUUAGGCGUGUGACUGCGUACCUUUUGUAUAAUGGGUCAGCGACUUAUAUUCUGUAGCAAGGUUAACCGAAUAGGGGAGCCGAAGGGAAACCGAGUCUUAACUGGGCGUUAAGUUGCAGGGUAUAGACCCGAAACCCGGUGAUCUAGCCAUGGGCAGGUUGAAGGUUGGGUAACACUAACUGGAGGACCGAACCGACUAAUGUUGAAAAAUUAGCGGAUGACUUGUGGCUGGGGGUGAAAGGCCAAUCAAACCGGGAGAUAGCUGGUUCUCCCCGAAAGCUAUUUAGGUAGCGCCUCGUGAAUUCAUCUCCGGGGGUAGAGCACUGUUUCGGCAAGGGGGUCAUCCCGACUUACCAACCCGAUGCAAACUGCGAAUACCGGAGAAUGUUAUCACGGGAGACACACGGCGGGUGCUAACGUCCGUCGUGAAGAGGGAAACAACCCAGACCGCCAGCUAAGGUCCCAAAGUCAUGGUUAAGUGGGAAACGAUGUGGGAAGGCCCAGACAGCCGUGAUGUUGGCUUAGAAGCAGCCAUCAUUUAAAGAAAGCGUAAUAGCUCACUGGUCGAGUCGGCCUGCGCGGAAGAUGUAACGGGCUAAACCAUGCACCGAAGCUGCGGCAGCGACACUAUGUGUUGUUGGGUAGGGGAGCGUUCUGUAAGCCUGUGAAGGUGUGCUGUGAGGCAUGCUGGAGGUAUCAGAAGUGCGAAUGGUGACAUAAGUAACGAUAAAGCGGGUGAAAAGCCCGCUCGCCGGAAGACCAAGGGUCCUGUCCAACGUUAAUCGGGGCAGGGUGAGUCGACCCCUAAGGCGAGGCCGAAAGGCGUAGUCGAUGGGAAACAGGUUAAUAUUCCUGUACUUGGUGUUACUGCGAAGGGGGGACGGAGAAGGCUAUGUUGGCCGGGCGACGGUUGUCCCGGUUUACGCGUGUAGGCUGGUUUUCCGUGCAAAUCCGGAAAAUCAAGGCUGAGGCGUGAUGACGAGGCACUACGGUGCUGAAGCAACAAAUGCCCUGCUUCCGUGAAAAGCCUCUAAGCAUCAGGUAACAUCAAAUCGUACCCCAAACCGACACAGGUGGUCAGGUAGAGAAUACCAAGGCGCUUGAGAGAACUCGGGUGAAGGAACUAGGCAAAAUGGUGCCGUAACUUCGGGAGAAGGCACGCUGAUAUGUAGGUGAAGCGACUUGCUCGUGGAGCUGAAAUCAGUCGAAGAUACCAGCUGGCUGCAACUGUUUAUUAAAAACACAGCACUGUGCAAACACGAAAGUGGACGUAUACGGUGUGACGCCUGCCCGGUGCCGGAAGGUUAAUUGAUGGGGUCAGCGCAAGCGAAGCUCUUGAUCGAAGCCCCGGUAAACGGCGGCCGUAACUAUAACGGUCCUAAGGUAGCGAAAUUCCUUGUCGGGUAAGUUCCGACCUGCACGAAUGGCGUAAUGAUGGCCAGGCUGUCUCCACCCGAGACUCAGUGAAAUUGAACUCGCUGUGAAGAUGCAGUGUACCCGCGGCAAGACGGAAAGACCCCGUGAACCUUUACUAUAGCUUGACACUGAACAUUGAGCCUUGAUGUGUAGGAUAGGUGGGAGGCUUUGAAGUGUGGACGCCAGUCUGCAUGGAGCCGACCUUGAAAUACCACCCUUUAAUGUUUGAUGUUCUAACGUUGACCCGUAAUCCGGGUUGCGGACAGUGUCUGGUGGGUAGUUUGACUGGGGCGGUCUCCUCCUAAAGAGUAACGGAGGAGCACGAAGGUUGGCUAAUCCUGGUCGGACAUCAGGAGGUUAGUGCAAUGGCAUAAGCCAGCUUGACUGCGAGCGUGACGGCGCGAGCAGGUGCGAAAGCAGGUCAUAGUGAUCCGGUGGUUCUGAAUGGAAGGGCCAUCGCUCAACGGAUAAAAGGUACUCCGGGGAUAACAGGCUGAUACCGCCCAAGAGUUCAUAUCGACGGCGGUGUUUGGCACCUCGAUGUCGGCUCAUCACAUCCUGGGGCUGAAGUAGGUCCCAAGGGUAUGGCUGUUCGCCAUUUAAAGUGGUACGCGAGCUGGGUUUAGAACGUCGUGAGACAGUUCGGUCCCUAUCUGCCGUGGGCGCUGGAGAACUGAGGGGGGCUGCUCCUAGUACGAGAGGACCGGAGUGGACGCAUCACUGGUGUUCGGGUUGUCAUGCCAAUGGCACUGCCCGGUAGCUAAAUGCGGAAGAGAUAAGUGCUGAAAGCAUCUAAGCACGAAACUUGCCCCGAGAUGAGUUCUCCCUGACUCCUUGAGAGUCCUGAAGGAACGUUGAAGACGACGACGUUGAUAGGCCGGGUGUGUAAGCGCAGCGAUGCGUUGAGCUAACCGGUACUAAUGAACCGUGAGGCUUAACCUUACAACGCCGAAGCUGUU
Molecule: ribosomal RNA, 2927 nt
Filed under: Escherichia coli
Lineage: Bacteria; Pseudomonadati; Pseudomonadota; Gammaproteobacteria; Enterobacterales; Enterobacteriaceae
Description: 23S ribosomal RNA
Rfam family: Bacterial large subunit ribosomal RNA
Source: RNAcentral